This 450-nucleotide ribosomal RNA is filed under the name uncultured Glomus. Its description in RNAcentral is "SSU rRNA". It matches the Rfam family "Eukaryotic small subunit ribosomal RNA", at positions 569 to 1024 of the family's 1831-position model. Lineage: Eukaryota; Fungi; Glomeromycota; Glomeromycetes; Glomerales; Glomeraceae. The record is from RNAcentral.
AGCAGCCGCGGUAAUUCCAGCUCCAAUAGCGUAUAUUAAAGUUGUUGCAGUUAAAAAGCUCGUAGUUGAAUUUCGAGAUCAAUUUUCUUGGUCAUACCUUUGUAUGUACUGGUCUUAUUGAUUUCUCCCUUCUGAUGAACCAUGAUGUCAUUAAUUUGGUGUUAUGGGGAAUCAGGACUAUUACUUUGAAAAAUUAGAGUGUUUAAAGCAGGCUCACGCUUGAAUACAUUAGCAUGGAAUAAUGAAAUAGGACGUUUGAUUCUAUUUUGUUGGUUUCUAGGAUUGACGUAAUGAUUAAUAGGGAUAGUUGGGGGCAUUAGUAUUCAAUUGUCAGAGGUGAAAUUCUUGGAUUUAUUGAAGACUAACUACUGCGAAAGCAUUUGCCAAAGAUGUUUUCAUUAAUCAAGAACGAAAGUUAGGGGAUCGAAGACGAUCAGAUACCGUCGUAGU